Non-coding RNA from Hordeum vulgare subsp. vulgare (domesticated barley), 124 nucleotides. The record is from Rfam. Lineage: Eukaryota; Viridiplantae; Streptophyta; Magnoliopsida; Poales; Poaceae.
UUAGUACUACCUCCGUCCGGAAAUACUUGUCCUAGAGAUGACUAUAUCUAGACUUAUUUUAGUUAUAUAUACAUCCAUUAUAUUCAUUUCUACGACAAGUAUUUUCGGACGGAGGGAAUAUAUG